This 464-nucleotide ribosomal RNA is filed under the name uncultured bacterium. RNAcentral's name for it is "partial 16S ribosomal RNA". It matches the Rfam family "Bacterial small subunit ribosomal RNA", at positions 339 to 795 of the family's 1533-position model. The record is from RNAcentral.
CUACGGGGGGCACCAGUGGGGAAUAUUGCACAAUGGGCGCAAGCCUGAUGCAGCCAUGCCGCGUGUAUGAAGAAGGCCUUCGGGUUGUAAAGUACUUUCAGCGGGGAGGAAGGGAGUAAAGUUAAUACCUUUGCUCAUUGACGUUACCCGCAGAAGAAGCACCGGCUAACUCCGUGCCAGCAGCCGCGGUAAUACGGAGGGUGCAAGCGUUAAUCGGAAUUACUGGGCGUAAAGCGCACGCAGGCGGUUUGUUAAGUCAGAUGUGAAAUCCCCGGGCUCAACCUGGGAACUGCAUCUGAUACUGGCAAGCUUGGGUCUCGUAGAGGGGGGUAGAAUACCAGGUGUAGCGGUGAAAUGCGUAGAGAUCUGGAGGAAUACCGGUGGCGAAGGCGGCCCCCUGGACGAAGACUGACGCUCAGGUGCGAAAGCGUGGGGAGCAAACAGGAUUAGAUACCCCAGUAGUC